CGGGAUAUAGCGCAGUUUGGUAGCGUGCCAUCUUGGGGUGAUGGAGGCCGCAGGUUCGAAUCCUGCUAUUCCGA
RNAcentral lists this transfer RNA (74 nucleotides) under Ophioglossum vulgatum (southern adder's-tongue). RNAcentral's name for it is "tRNA-Pro". It matches the Rfam family "tRNA". From Rfam's summary of the family: Transfer RNA (tRNA) molecules are approximately 80 nucleotides in length. Lineage: Eukaryota; Viridiplantae; Streptophyta; Polypodiopsida; Ophioglossales; Ophioglossaceae. RNAcentral also lists the same sequence under 2 other names. The record is from RNAcentral.